This 329-nucleotide ribosomal RNA is filed under the name uncultured bacterium. RNAcentral describes it as "bacterial SSU rRNA". It matches the Rfam family "Bacterial small subunit ribosomal RNA", at positions 32 to 339 of the family's 1533-position model. The record is from RNAcentral.
AAUCAACGCUGGCGGCGUGCCUCAGACAUGCAAGUCGAACGCGAAAGUCCCCCUCGGGGGACAAGUAGAGUGGCGCACGGGUGAGUAACACGUAGGUAAUCUACCUUCGGGUGGGGAAUAACAAUCGGAAACGGUUGCUAAUACCGCAUAAUGCAGCGGCACCUAAUGGUGACAGUUGUUAAAGCGGGGGAUCGCAAGAUCUCGCGCCUGAAGAGGAGCCUGCGGCGGAUUAGCUAGUUGGUAGGGUAAUGGCCUACCAAGGCGACGAUCCGUAGCCGGCCUGAGGAGGGCGGUCGGCCACACUGACACUGACAUACGGGUCAGACUCC